UACAGAGGGUGCGAGCGUUUAUCGGAAUUACUGGGCGUAAAGCGCACGUAGGCGGCUUGGUAUGUCGGGUGUGAAAUCCCCGGGCUCAACCUGGGAACUGCAUCCGAAACUGCCUUGCUAGAGUAUGGGAGAGGGAAGUGGAAUUUCCGGUGUAGCGGUGAAAUGCGUAGAUAUCGGAAGGAACAUCAGUGGCGAAGGCGACUUCCUGGACCAAUACUGACGCUCAGGUGCGAAAGCGUGGGGAGCAAACAGG
This 253-nucleotide ribosomal RNA is filed under the name uncultured bacterium. Its description in RNAcentral is "partial 16S ribosomal RNA". It matches the Rfam family "Bacterial small subunit ribosomal RNA", at positions 524 to 776 of the family's 1533-position model. The record is from RNAcentral.